RNAcentral lists this long non-coding RNA (4287 nucleotides) under Xyrichtys novacula (pearly razorfish). The record is from RNAcentral. Lineage: Eukaryota; Metazoa; Chordata; Actinopteri; Labriformes; Labridae.
AGAGUUUAGGAGUGUGACAGGUGUCACACGUGUCACACGUGUCACACAUUGGAUGAGUGGUGAGUACUGAGGUGUGAGGAACAGGGAGAGAUGGUCUGAUUGUCCAAUGUGGGGCAGGGGGUGUGCUUUGUAGGCUCCAGCCAGGUUGGAAUAAACAUAGUCCAAAGUCUUAUCCCCUCUGGUGUUACAGGAGACAUGUUGGUGGAAUCUGGGGAGGACUGUCUUCAAGUUGGAGUGGUUAAAGUCACCAGCAACAAUAAAGACAGCCCCAGGGUGUUUGGUCUGGUGUUUGCUAAUGGCUGCACAAAGUUCUUUCAUAGUCAGCUUAGCAUUAGCAUCCGGGGGGUAUACACUGCAGUGAGUAGGAUGGAAGUGAAUUCUCUGUGGAGAUAGUGUUGGAAAUUCUUUAUUAGGAAUAGGAAUUUCAAGGGGGUCCUAUAGGCAGCAGUACACUGUAAUACAAUACAGUACAAUACCAUACCAUACAAUACAAUACGAUACAAAACAAAAAAAACAAAACUGCCAGCCUGCAGCAUGCAACAUACAGACACGCAACACAGAACAGAUCAAAAUCAAAAGAAACAACAACCAAAACUGCAGCAAAAAGGAAAACUGCGAAAAGCAAGGAGAAGGACAAAAAAAAAGAAAGGAGGAAAGGAAAAAAAAGGGGGGGGGGGGGGAUAUGAAUAAGAUCAACAAGGUAAAUAUGAAUGGUGAUACAGUGCAUGCAAUGGGUCAGAUCAGCUGUGUCGACCAAAUUGGACACGUGCAAGGGUGAUGAGUCAGGCGCAUGUACAGGAGAAGGUGUAAUAAGAGGUAAGUGCUCUUUUAAACAUAUGGAAUGAUGUGAUUGUUCGAAUAUUUGUUGGCAAAUUGUUCCAAUCUGAUGGGGCUUUGAACUUAAAGGCUUUUUUACCUGCCUUGGAGACUGGUGGGACAAUAAAGUAGGGCUGGGCGAUGUGCCUCAACGGAUAACUAGUGGAAAAUGGUUGAAGUAGUUGUUUGAGAUAUGAUGGAUAAUUGAGGCGUAUACAUUUGAAAAUAAACCGUGACCAGUGACACUGUCUUCGUAUUGCUAAAGAGGGCAACUGGAGAUUUUCAUACAUAGUACAGUGGUGGGUGGUGAAAGAACAACCUAGGAUGAAUCUGCAAAGUUUGUUGUACACAGUGUCGAGGAUUAACAGAUUGGUUGUGGAGGCAACUUGAUAGAAAAAAUCGGCAUAAUCAAAUAAAGGCAGGAUAAGCUGUAAUAUUAGUCUUUUCCUAACCAAGAAAGAGUGACAGUUUCUUGAACGAUAGAGAGCACCAAUACAGAGAUUGACUUUACGUGCAAUAUGAUCAAUAUGGUAUUUGAAUGACAGUUCACUAUCAAGCCACAAACCCAGGUAUUUGGUGCUUUCAACUCUAUGCAGUGGAGUUCCAUCCAAGCUGGAGAUGGAGAGGAGGAUAGUAAGGUCUUCAUUCAACCAUUAAGAACUCCACAUUAGGUGAGCAUUGUCUCUCAGUAGUAGUAGAGUCUGUGCACCAAGCUUUGUUGAUAUAAAUGCACAAGCCCUUCACCUCUGGUGUUACCAGAGUCAUCUGCUAUCCUGUCAGCUCGGUGUGUGUGACGUCCUGCUAACUCAAUAGCAUUAUCCGGGCAGCUACUGUUUCGCCAUGUUUCAGUGAAAAUCAAGACAUUUGAGUCCAUAAUCCGUCUGUUGUUUGUGAUGGAGAGUUGUAUUUCAUCCAUCUUGUUUGCCAGAGAGCAGACAUUGGUGAGGAAAAUGCUGGGUAAGGGGAGCCGGUGUAGUAUUCACUUUAGCUUAGCUCGUAGCCCUCCGUGCCUGCCUCACCUUUGUUUACGUUUUCGGCGCUGCCUGCGUGCACUUCCGCCCAGCCGGAAAGAGUGAGCAGCCUCCGGUGUUCUGGAGAUCUCUGGGAUGAGUCGGAGAUCUGCGAUAAAACUGUCGGAAUGUUGAGUCCAAAUGUUCAGAAGCUCCCGUCUGCUGUAGGACAGCAAUGCAGAGCAAUUCUGGAUGAAUAAUCCAGUCAGGAGUAGGUAGAAAACUGCUAAAUAGCAGAUUCUGGAGAGUUGCUGAGCCUUGUGUUGUUCACGCGCCGCCGUCUUGGUUUUGGUCGAUCUUGUUCACAACCAGCAAUUCUGGUCUGCUGGUCUCAGUGAUUAACUGGUCUUGGGAUCUGUUAGCGAUUACUCCUCUCCCCCCCUAAGCCUUAAUCUCAGGACCUGUUUGCAUCUACUCCCUUCUAUCUCCAUAAGACCCAGUCUCAGAAGUCUCGGGAUCUGUUAGCGAUCACUCCUCUGUCCCCCUGGGACUUAAUUCCGGGACCUGUUUGCAUCUACUCCUUUCUAUCCCCAUAAGACCCAGUCGGCAGACACUUGGCCAAGUUUUUAAACUGCUUAGACACCAAUUGUCAAUUUGUCUGUCUCACAGUGUUUUCCACACAUUUUAAAGCAGUCUUCAUGUGCGCAUGAAUAAGAAGUGAGAGACUCCACCUGACUCUGCCUUCUUUGUUUCUAGGUUCUUUAUUUUGCGAGAGCCCAAACACACGUUAGUCUCACCUCACAGUGAAAUCACACAUUUAUUAGAGAGACAAAAUUCUCCUACCUUAUUGUGCCGGCACAUGGAUUUCACCUGUGUGGGGAGGCCACCGCCUCAGGCAAAAACUUGGCUAAGCUCGCCACUUAUAUAGUAGAUUUCAUAGAUGCAAAGGUGCAAAAAUGGACCACAUGAAGACAGAAUCAAGCUGGCAGAAUGGACUGUAGAGGCCCAAAGAAUCCCUAGAAUCCCCAGAAUUGUUCCUUCAUUAUCUUCUUAUACCACCCUAAUGGCGUCAUUAGUCCUAUUCCUGUAAUCGGCUUUCACACUGGUGUCUGAUAGCCAACAAUGUGACUUCUUACGUAAACAUGCACAUAUCCUUGCUGGCCGGCUCUGCCAAUUUUCCUCUUGAGAUAACCAUUAAUCAUGUGUAAAAAGUUCCCCAUGACCUAGACUCUCUCUGGCUGUAUCCUGCAUCCUGUUUUACAAUAACUUUGCUCAGAACAUGUUUAUUAUUAGCUCCCACAGCUGCUGUUAGAGUUCACAUGGGCAGACAUUAACAUAACAUUAACUAAAGACACCAAACGAUUCCUUCUCCAUUAUUUACAUGGUGUCAGAAGUGAAAGUGUGGAGUUAUGGCCAAGUUUAACCCUCAGACGAACUUCUCAUUCGACAAGUCUGGAGAAUGGCGGGAUUGGAAACAGCGUUUUGUGUGAUUCAGGACUGCCACUAAGUUCAACAAGGAAGAGGGCGCCGUGCAAGUAAGCAGCUUGAUAUUUGCCAUGGGGAGUGAGGCGGAAAAUGUCUUCCGGUCUUUUGUUUUUGCCGAAGCUGCACAUGGAGACUUUCAUCAAGGCUUUUCACAAACUCUCUUAGCAUUGUGAAUUUGGCGCCAGCAGAGACAAGAACAUCCGCGAUCAAAUUGUUGUUGGAAUACUCAACAAAGAACUCUCAAGAAAGAAAGUUCUGCUAGAUAGCCCAGGUGGUGAGCUGCAGUGCUUAGGACAGAUCCAGAACACUGUGUCCUACAAAGGAAAGACUCACCCACUCACUGUAUAUGUGUCCAUGGUGAGUAAUGCAAACCGGUGGCCUAUUUCUACAGAUGCCCUAUGGAAGCAGAAACACGCUACGCCCAAAUUGAAACAGAAAGUCUGGCCAGCUCGUGGGUGUGUGUCAGAGUCUAGACAAUGUAUCUCUAAGGUGCCAGUGCCUUUUCAUGAGACUCAUGAGGUUAAAUCCUGUAGCAUAGUACGCUCCUGGUAAAACCUUGGUUGUCGCAGACACUCUUAGUCCAGUUGGAAGGAGGGGGUUCAGUGCACCCCCCGGAGAUAUAUUUCUAAUCAGUGUUUUUCUAUAGGAAAAAAUGUGCUGAAAAUGAUGAGUUAUGAUAAAAAGUUCUCAGAAUGUCCCAUCUGCCCCAAAACCCCAAAAAAACCACUUUUUGGUACAUGGCUCCGGCGAAAUUGUGUUAAGGCAAAUAUUAAUUCACUAAAAUUACAUAAUUGGACAUGAAAGUCUAAAAUUUGGCAUGUGGUAUCCUGAGACAUAGGGUUAAGUAGCCCAAUAAGAUUUUAGGACCUGCUACAACUGUAUUCAUAAUUAUGACCAACAUCAUCCCCAGAAACACAAAAAAAUAUACUGUCCGCUUGACAAAUAAUAACAAAGAUGAUUGAUUUCCAGCACUUUAUGGUGAAUAUCACUGCCUCAUUUGUAUAUAUAAACUUCCCAUGUCCCUAAGCUUCAAUUU